Ictalurus punctatus (channel catfish) is the source of this 1389-nucleotide long non-coding RNA. NCBI's taxonomy places the organism in Eukaryota, Metazoa, Chordata, Actinopteri, Siluriformes, Ictaluridae. The record is from Ensembl.
GUAAAGUUUGCAGGUUUCUAUUCUUAUGUUUUGUUUGUUUGUUUAUUUAUUUAUGUGUAUAUAUAUUUAUUUAUUUAGAAAGUAAUGCCGCUUACAUGCAUUACGUUCCUAAAUAUGUGCAUUGUACUUUUUUGCUUCUCUGCGAGAGGGGCAAAUAAAGAAUAUAUGCAAAUAGCUAGUAAAAUAUUAUCACAUUUGAACCUUUUUUAUGUGGACAGAAUUAUUAAACAUGGACUAAUAUUCGACAUAGGUAUAUAAUGUCAUUUCUGAUUAUUACAGAAUCCUUUCGUAAAGUCACCAUAAUGAAAUAAUGUCAUGCACUGUGCAAUAUUUACCUGCCUAUAGGCAUCAUGUCAGAGUUUAAGCUCAGUAAUUGAAAUCAAUGCUAAUGUGUAAAAAUGCUUUGAGUAGCUAAUGUGAUUUUAAUAUGGCAACAUGAGUAGGAAAAACUUACUGUUUAAAUCACUGUUUUUCUCUAGAGUUUUUUUUGUUUGUUUUUUAAUUCAAAGUCUUGCGAAACCAUAUUUAUUCACAAUUUUGUAAAAUGCCCAAACUGUGAAAGUCUGUAGUAAUUAAGCAUGGAGGACUACAUGGAGUUGUUUUCAUUUUGAGGUAUAUAUUUUUUUCUCCUGAGACUGAAUUCCUCAGACACCAGAGAAGCAGUUUAAACUUGCACCGCAACAUGAGUGUUAAAGCAUCACUAAAUCAUGGAUCACCAAGAAGGUUCACCAGCCUCUCAUUCUAUCCUAUCUGCAUUUCCCUUGCCAGCUGCAGAGCCUAAAUGAAAUUUAUUAGGCUUUGGAGUAACUAAUCAUCUCUGUGUGGUAAUUACGGAUUAGCCUCUCAUCGGGGGAUGCUGCCGCUGAGGGCUGGCCCGGGUUUUCCAGUUGGUAUAAGAGCUUGUGGAAGCUAUGGGUUUGCCAAAACAUCAUACACUGAUGUACAGUUUCAGAAGGCUCUGGGGCGCUCCCGAGCCUCGCUUUGGACCAACGCUGGCGUUUUCAGUGCAGCAUUAAUGAUGUCGUCUAGAAAUGCUGCAGACAUGUUUGAGGGAUUUAUGAAAGAGAAGCUGGGUCCCUUUAGACAGCAGCAGAAUGCGCCAUCUCUGGAGCUGCUGUGCUGUCAGGGAGCCAGUGCAGUUGUGCUGUAAAAGAAAGUCUCGCUUGCCAACUCAUGUGCCAGGAAGAGAAGUAGAAGGAAAUAGAAAUAGCAGAUAGCUACAGAAGAACAAUGUCUUUCUUUUUCUUUUUCUUUUUCUUUCUUUUUUUUUUCUGAUGAGGAAACUUUAAUGAUGUGCCGCUUUGAAAGCAUCUGGUGAUGAAAACCCAAUAAUUCUCAGAUGUAUACAUGGACAUAUGCAAACAUAUACACACGUCCUGUAGAUCCAAA